RNAcentral lists this ribosomal RNA (628 nucleotides) under Leuconostoc mesenteroides. RNAcentral describes it as "bacterial SSU rRNA". It matches the Rfam family "Bacterial small subunit ribosomal RNA", at positions 63 to 677 of the family's 1533-position model. The record is from RNAcentral. Lineage: Bacteria; Bacillati; Bacillota; Bacilli; Lactobacillales; Lactobacillaceae.
CGCACAGCGAAAGGUGCUUGCACCUUUCAAGUGAGUGGCGAACGGGUGAGUAACACGUGGACAACCUGCCUCAAGGCUGGGGAUAACAUUUGGAAACAGAUGCUAAUACCGAAUAAAACUUAGUGUCGCAUGACAAAAAGUUAAAAGGCGCUUCGGCGUCACCUAGAGAUGGAUCCGCGGUGCAUUAGUUAGUUGGUGGGGUAAAGGCCUACCAAGACAAUGAUGCAUAGCCGAGUUGAGAGACUGAUCGGCCACAUUGGGACUGAGACACGGCCCAAACUCCUACGGGAGGCUGCAGUAGGGAAUCUUCCACAAUGGGCGAAAGCCUGAUGGAGCAACGCCGCGUGUGUGAUGAAGGCUUUCGGGUCGUAAAGCACUGUUGUAUGGGAAGAACAGCUAGAAUAGGAAAUGAUUUUAGUUUGACGGUACCAUACCAGAAAGGGACGGCUAAAUACGUGCCAGCAGCCGCGGUAAUACGUAUGUCCCGAGCGUUAUCCGGAUUUAUUGGGCGUAAAGCGAGCGCAGACGGUUUAUUAAGUCUGAUGUGAAAGCCCGGAGCUCAACUCCGGAAUGGCAUUGGAAACUGGUUAACUUGAGUGCAGUAGAGGUAAGUGGAACUCCAUGUGUA